UAGGGAAUCUUGCGCAAUGGGCGAAAGCCUGACGCAGCCAUGCCGCGUGAAUGAUGAAGGUCUUAGGAUUGUAAAAUUCUUUCACCGGGGACGAUAAUGACGGUACCCGGAGAAGAAGCCCCGGCUAACUUCGUGCCAGCAGCCGCGGUAAUACGAAGGGGGCUAGCGUUGCUCGGAAUUACUGGGCGUAAAGGGAGCGUAGGCGGAUAGUUUAGUCAGAGGUGAAAGCCCAGGGCUCAACCUUGGAAUUGCCUUUGAUACUGGCUAUCUUGAGUGUGGGAGAGGUAUGUGGAACUCCGAGUGUAGAGGUGAAAUUCGUAGAUAUUCGGAAGAACACCAGUGGCGAAGGCGACAUACUGGCCCAUUACUGACGCUGAGGCUCGAAAAGCGUGGGGAGCAAAACAGGAUUAGAUACCCUGGUAGUCCACGCCGUAAACGAUGAAUGCUAGUUGUCGGCAUGCAUGCAUGUCGGUGACGCAGCUAACGCAUUAAGCAUUCCGCCUGGGGAGUACGGUCGCAAGAUUAAAAACUCAAAGG
RNAcentral lists this ribosomal RNA (537 nucleotides) under uncultured bacterium. RNAcentral describes it as "partial 16S ribosomal RNA". It matches the Rfam family "Bacterial small subunit ribosomal RNA", at positions 355 to 907 of the family's 1533-position model. The record is from RNAcentral.